RNAcentral lists this ribosomal RNA (253 nucleotides) under uncultured bacterium. RNAcentral describes it as "partial 16S ribosomal RNA". It matches the Rfam family "Bacterial small subunit ribosomal RNA", at positions 524 to 776 of the family's 1533-position model. The record is from RNAcentral.
UACGUAGGGACCAAGCGUUGUUCGGAUUUACUGGGCGUAAAGGGCGCGUAGGCGGCGAAUCAAGUCAGCUGUGAAAUCUCCGAGCUUAACUCGGAACGGUCAGCUGAUACUGUUUUGCUAGAGUGCAGAAAGGGCAACCGGAAUUCUUGGUGUAGCGGUGAAAUGCGUAGAUAUUAAGAGGAACACCUGAGGCGAAGGCGGGUUGCUAGGCUGACACUGACGCUGAAGCGCGAAAGCUAGGGUAGCAAACGGG